GGUGAACGCUGGCGGCGUGCCUAAUACAUGCAAGUCGAGCGAACAGACGAGGAGCUUGCUCCUCUGACGGUAGCGGCGGGCGGGUGAGUAACACGUGGAUAACCUACCUAUAAGACUGGGAUAACUUCGGGAAACCGGAGCUGAUACCGGCUAAUAUAUUGAACCGCAUGGAUCAAUAGUGAAAGACGGUUUUGCUGUCACUUAUAGAUGGAUCCGCGACGCAUUAGCUAGUUGGUAAGGUAACGGCUUACCAAGGCGACGAUGCGUAGCCGACCUGAGAGGGUGAUCGGCCACACUGGAACUGAGACACGGUCCAGACUCCUACGGGAGGCAGCAGUAGGGAAUCUUCCGCAAUGGGCGAAAGCCUGACGGAGCAACGCCGCGUGAGUGAUGAAGGUCUUCGGAUCGUAAAACUCUGUUAUUAGGGAAGAACAAAUGUGUAAGUAACUAUGCACGUCUUGACGGUACCUAAUCAGAAAGCCACGGCUAACUACGUG
This 497-nucleotide ribosomal RNA is filed under the name uncultured bacterium. RNAcentral's name for it is "partial 16S ribosomal RNA". It matches the Rfam family "Bacterial small subunit ribosomal RNA", at positions 28 to 507 of the family's 1533-position model. The record is from RNAcentral.